This 253-nucleotide ribosomal RNA is filed under the name uncultured bacterium. RNAcentral's name for it is "partial 16S ribosomal RNA". It matches the Rfam family "Bacterial small subunit ribosomal RNA", at positions 524 to 776 of the family's 1533-position model. The record is from RNAcentral.
UACGUAGGGUGCAAGCGUUGUCCGGAAUUAUUGGGCGUAAAGAGCUCGUAGGCGGCUUGUCACGUCUGCUGUGAAAUCCCGGGGCUCAACCCCGGGCGUGCAGUGGAUACGGGCUGGCUAGAGGCAGGCAGGGGAGAACGGAAUUCCCGGUGUAGCGGUGAAAUGCGCAGAUAUCGGGAGGAACACCAGUGGCGAAGGCGGCUCUCUGGGCCCUACCUGACGCUGAGACGCGAAAGCGUGGGGAGCGAACCGG